Long non-coding RNA from Strigops habroptila (Kakapo), 1974 nucleotides. Lineage: Eukaryota; Metazoa; Chordata; Aves; Psittaciformes; Psittacidae. The record is from Ensembl.
UUUGUGGGAAUCUUUAUUGCAGAUAUUAACGGAUAUUAUAGAUGAGCAGAAAUCAGAAAAUAAUUAGGUGCAUAUAUAUGAUUAGUCUUUGAUCUCAUGGAAAGUGUAGAAGGCAAAAAAUACUGUGUAUUAGAGGUCCCUGGGCAAGAAGCAUUAUCUAGACAUCAUGCACACACAUUAAUUCAAAGACUUUUUCCAAGGUAUAAAAAAUAAUCCACUAACAGCAGGAAGUAGAAAUAUGCGAAUGCUUUUCUGAAGCCCUCAAAACCAAAUCUGGAUGCCUCUCUGAAACAGUCUCCAGCAGCAUUGUCCCUCCAGGAGUUAAUACCUUCACAGUCCAAGCAGGCACACACUGAAUAUUAGCACCUUUCUGAAGCUGCUGAAUGUAUUGAGCUCUUUUUUUAACUUGUUGGUAUCCUGAAUUCGCUUGUAUCACAUGUAACAUGAAGCAUAGCCUUUUUCCUUAUUAAUGCCAAAGACACAAGUAUCCAUGUGAAAACUAGCAAAAUGCUGCCUGUUGUAAAACAGCAAAUAUUUUGUAUAGAGGGAAAAUUCUGGGACCUGCCUACUAAAGGAGAAGCACAAAUAGUUUCUCCUGUAUGGCCCCCAGUGAACUCAUCCCAUUUAGUGCGUAUUGGAGCUUUGCAAAUCUCCAGAGCUUUGUGUUUAGCAAAGCAGAUGUGCAAAUGAGGAGAUCCUGGUGACCUCACCUCUGAGAAUCAGGCCUUUGACAUACAUUACUUUCCUGCUGACAGCAAAAGAGGUGUGGAUCAGUUGGCGUUUCACACCUGCAACUAAUGUAGAAGUUGUAACGAUAUAAGUGAACAUUAGGAAUAAAAACGAUGCUUUGGACACGAACCAGCUAUAUUUAACAGGAAAGGUGCAAAUCCGCAUUAUGACUCAGGAUACGUAUUAGCUGCAGCCCUUCUUUAACCUGGAAAGAAAGAAUUAUAUCCAAGAGAACGUACCUCAAAGAGUUUCUCUUUCCUCUGGCAGAAGUGAUGAUUAGGCUAAAAUUGGCCAUUUGUUUUAUCUGUAGUUGGGGAAUAUAUGAUUUGGUGUACCAGAUGAAGCUGUACAAACUAGUCUCGGUUCAAGAUCCUGAUCUCCUAUAACUACCUCUUCACAAUCAAUAGAGCAACGAACUUUUAGUGUAGCUCAGGACCUUGCUCAGCUCCUUUAUCCUGGACUGAGCUGACCUGGUAAAUCUGCAGGGGGAUGAGAUCUUGCUGAAUACACCCAGUUCUCCAACUCCCCUCUGCUUUGGGAAGUCUGUGCCUCCAGAGAGGCUCCUGGGGCCAGAAAUUACAACAGAUUUUCACCCACUAUUUUCUUGUUGGUAACAAAUGCUCUGCACUGCUCUUUGGGCCUUUUGGACUUCUAUUAAUGCUGCAGCAUGUAUUAGCCUAUAAUAUCACUGUUUGGGCCUCUUUUCACUAAAGCAGAUCUAUCAGCUGCAAAGCAUUUAGGGUUGGUUUGUGUGUUGCCCCAUCUAGGAGUAACAAAUCUUGUUGGGUGGGUAGAAAGGUACCAUCAUCCCUUAUAUAUCAGCUUGCUUUAGCCCUGGGAAUUCAUCUCCACUUAGGUUUUGGAGGUUUCUUUGUCAGUGUCUAACAAGUGGCUGCUCUGAUGCCUCCCAGCUUACAGGCUGAUGCCUCGUGGGCAGUCUACAUGACAGAGAAAUGUUAUGGAUGGAAAUGAGCAUUUUUGUCUCCUCCUGACAAAUGUACAGUGUGGGAAGGGGUUACACCAGCACACCUCUCCAUGAAAAGUCAGGGGACAUGACCCCCACCAAAACGAACCCCUGGGCAGCUACGUGACAUUCAGCUUGAGGAAGGAAACUGGUUUGUCACCUCAUUGCCUAACAUGUGAUCUCAAGCCAGAGCUGAGGUGUACCCAUGGGCGCAAGAGAUAAGAUUGUUGUUAACACUGUACUCGUAUCCUGAAGGUAUUCUAGUUUCCAACUUUAGAAUG